AUGGAGCCAGCCACACUGGAGGAGAGCUCUGCCAGCACGGGGGAACACCUUGAGGUAGAGCCGCUCAGCCAAAGUGUCCCCGAGGCUGAUGAGGGCAGUGGGUCACAUCCCCAGGGGCCAGCAGCCCCCCCCAAGCCUGCUGAGAAGGUCUGCGUGGUGGUCGGCUCCGCUGGAGAGGUUGGUGCUGAGCUCUGCCCCUGUUCCCGGGGCCAGCAGCGUCUGCUGAGUGGAGCUGGAGAGGCUGAGACAGAAGCUGCCCGAGAUGGGGUGAGUUUUGGCACAUGGGUGCCGUGUCCCCCACCCUGGGUGAGAGCCCCUCCAGGCCGCUGCUGCAGGCAGGGGCUGUGCUGGCUCCCCCCGCUCCUGUGCAGCCACUGCCUUCCUCCCCCAACUCCUUUCUCUCUCCCACAGCUUCUCGGUGACCUUCAGCCACCCGAAAACUUGCAGGUCCUGCCAGUAGCUACCCCAGAUCCCGAUGCACAGCCCAGCAAGGCUUGUUCUGAUACCUGCACCACACCAGAGACCUCACCGGGGACCCAGCACCCUCCUGGGUCUGGUGAGACAGAGCCGGCCGCAGGCAGCCAGCAAGGGCUCCCAAAACGCCCCCCAGCCAGCACCGACCUCCGCUCCGCCGCCAUCCUCGCCAGGAAGGAGGAGAUCGAGCUGUUGUACCAGAAGUUCAGCCUGACCAUCGCGGUGGUGGCCACAAUGCUGCUGCAGAAGGAGCCCUCCAUGGAGGCGGCGCUGGGGCUGGCGCUGAGGGCCAACCUCCGCCAAGGCCGCAUCCGUCUCCUCCAGGAGCUGGAGGACUUCAUCAACAGCUACGACUCGGCCACCUUCAGGCCCUGAGGGGGGGCUGGGGCGAGUGGAUGGACACCCCCUCUCACCAGCUGGGGUUGGGAAGGUGAGGGGGGGGGCCCAUGAGAGCGCAUCAGGGUGCUUGUGAUGGUGCUGAGCCCUCGGUCAAGGUGGUGCAGACAUGUUGGUGCAGUCCCACCAUCUCUCUUGGAGGCGGGGGGUGCUUAGUUUUAGCCCUGCCCAGACCUGUAUGUGCAGUAAAAGGGGGGAGCUGGUUUUACUGGAGAGUGGUGGGAGGGGGAGCCCCAGAUCCUCACUCCCUCCAUUCCUGGCUCAUAGUAGGGAUGUUCCCCGAAACCCUGGUGGUCUUUCUUGGUUGUAAAUUUAAAAAUAAACCAGCUGUGAUCUUUGCA
Molecule: long non-coding RNA, 1211 nt
Filed under: Athene cunicularia (burrowing owl)
Lineage: Eukaryota; Metazoa; Chordata; Aves; Strigiformes; Strigidae
Description: lncRNA (ENSACUG00000006248.1)
Source: RNAcentral